RNAcentral lists this long non-coding RNA (460 nucleotides) under Mus caroli (Ryukyu mouse). RNAcentral's name for it is "lncRNA (MGP_CAROLIEiJ_G0006803.1)". Lineage: Eukaryota; Metazoa; Chordata; Mammalia; Rodentia; Muridae. The record is from RNAcentral.
GGAUGUGUCCGCCCUGCUGCACAGCCUUUGGGGGAUUAUGCCGGGGUGGAGUUCUGGUNNNNNNAUGCUGAAGAGACCAGGGGUGCUGUGUUCGAUGUGAGGCAGAGCCAUGCAGAAGUGUGGAGGUUUUACACUGGAGACAGAAAGCAUUCUAGUUUGCCAAUGAGUGUGUAAAGGACGGUCGGCGUAUAAGGCGAGACCAGUCAGUAUGCCUGGGAUGCUACACUCCUUAAUUUGUGUCCUGCCUGGUAAGCAAAAGGAAGCUCCAAGAAAAGCCACACUCGAGUCAACAUGAGUCUUGGGAACAGACAACCAUGGAAAGACCAGGAAGGCAGCUGUUCUCCAUGCANGGGAGAUGUGCAGACUCAGCGCUGUGUCAACGAGAACCNGUCUCUUCUCUUAAAAUUGAGAUAAGCAUUCUUAGAGAUAAGCAAAUAAAUCUCUUGGUAAAAUGCAUGCC